This 82-nucleotide transfer RNA is filed under the name Dermacentor silvarum. RNAcentral's name for it is "transfer RNA serine (anticodon AGA)". It matches the Rfam family "tRNA". From Rfam's summary of the family: Transfer RNA (tRNA) molecules are approximately 80 nucleotides in length. Their secondary structure includes four short double-helical elements and three loops (D, anti-codon, and T loops). Lineage: Eukaryota; Metazoa; Arthropoda; Arachnida; Ixodida; Ixodidae. The record is from RNAcentral.
GCAGUCGUGGCUGAGCGGUUAAGGCGAUGGACUAGAAAUCCAUUCGCGUCUCCCCGAACAGGUUCAAAUCCUGUCGACUGCG